RNAcentral lists this ribosomal RNA (460 nucleotides) under uncultured bacterium. RNAcentral's name for it is "partial 16S ribosomal RNA". It matches the Rfam family "Bacterial small subunit ribosomal RNA", at positions 338 to 795 of the family's 1533-position model. The record is from RNAcentral.
CCUACGGGUGGCUGCAGUGAGGAAUAUUGGUCAAUGGCCGUAAGGCUGAACCAGCCAAGUAGCGUGAGGGAAGACUGCCCUAUGGGUUGUAAACCUCUUUUAUGCGGGGAUAAAGGUGUCGACGUGUGGAUGUUUGCAGGUACCGCAUGAAUAAGGACCGGCUAAUUCCGUGCCAGCAGCCGCGGUAAUACGGAAGGUCCGGGCGUUAUCCGGAUUUAUUGGGUUUAAAGGGAGCGUAGGCCGGUCUUUAAGCGUGCCGUGAAAUUUUGUGGCUCAACCAUGAGAGUGCGGCGCGAACUGGAGACCUUGAGUGCGCGGAAGGCAGGCGGAAUUCGUGGUGUAGCGGUGAAAUGCUUAGAUAUCAGGAGGAACACCGGCGGCGAAGGCGGCCUGCUGGACCGCGACUGACGUUGAGGCUCGAAAGCGUGGGGAGCGAACAGGAUUAGAUACCCCUGUAGUC